Small nucleolar RNA from Ochotona curzoniae (black-lipped pika), 81 nucleotides. RefSeq annotates it as small nucleolar RNA SNORD115. The transcript has a single exon. Lineage: Eukaryota; Metazoa; Chordata; Mammalia; Lagomorpha; Ochotonidae. The record is from RefSeq and is a predicted model, not a curated record.
GGAUCAAUGAUGAGACCUUUUACUGUCUUGAAGAGAGAUGGUGGCUUAAAAAUUGCAUCCAACAGGGUUAGACUGAGGCCC